RNAcentral lists this long non-coding RNA (445 nucleotides) under Ananas comosus (pineapple). RNAcentral describes it as "long non-coding RNA (ACOM_LNC026856)". The record is from RNAcentral. Lineage: Eukaryota; Viridiplantae; Streptophyta; Magnoliopsida; Poales; Bromeliaceae.
UAUUUAUGAUUCAAUUGGUUUCACAUUAAUUGGAUAAAUGUGAUUUUGUGAAUGUAAUAAAGAACUUAUAUUUUUCUUAUGAGAUGAAAAUAUUUUUCUACCCCUCAUGGUAGCGUGUUUUAAAAGAAAAGGUUUCUGUAUGGAAAACGGUUUUAGAAAAAAAAGGGUUUUCUGGCUUUCGUGAUUAUUAGUGUUUCAAAAUGAGUUUCCAGGUAGGAAACGCUUUAAACUAAUAGAUGUGAAAUUAUGAUUAUUCUGUGAUGGAAUGAAUGAAAAAUGUGAUGUGGUAAAUGUAUGUGAAUGUACAUGUAUGUUCAUACUGUUGUGGUUGUAUAUAUCUCGUACUUGUGCGACGCCAUGCAAAUACAGGGAAGACUCUGUCCGUAUGAACAGUGGAUACCAUGUAUUUGUGGGGUAUCUGACAUCCUCUGGGGCCAAGAUUUUC